This is a small nucleolar RNA of Pteropus vampyrus (large flying fox), 81 nucleotides long. Its record names the gene SNORD115. It matches the Rfam family "Small nucleolar RNA SNORD115". From Rfam's summary of the family: HBII-52 is a member of the C/D class of snoRNAs, which contain the C (UGAUGA) and D (CUGA) box motifs. HBII-52 is encoded in a tandemly repeated array with another C/D snoRNA, HBII-85, in the Prader-Willi syndrome (PWS) region of chromosome 15. NCBI's taxonomy places the organism in Eukaryota, Metazoa, Chordata, Mammalia, Chiroptera, Pteropodidae. The record is from Ensembl.
GGGUCAAUGAUGAGAACUUAUGUUGUCUGGAAGAGAAAUGAUGACCUAAGAAUCAUGUUCAAUAACAUUAUUUUGAGACCC